AUUGAACGCUGGCGGCAUGCUUUACACAUGCAAGUCGAACGGCAGCGCGGGCUUCGGCCUGGCGGCGAGUGGCGAACGGGUGAGUAAUGCAUCGGAACGUGCCCAGUAGUGGGGGAUAGCCCGGCGAAAGCCGGAUUAAUACCGCAUACGACCUGAGGGUGACAGCGGGGGACCGCAAGGCCUCGCGCUCUUGGAGCGGCCGAUGUCGGAUUAGCUAGUUGGUGGGGUAAAGGCUUACCAAGGCGACGAUCCGUAGCUGGUCUGAGAGGACGACCAGCCACACUGGGACUGAGACACGGCCCAGACUCCUACGGGAGGCAGCAGUGGGGAAUGUUGGACAAUGGGGGCAACCCUGAUCCAGCCAUGCCGCGUGCGGGAAGAAGGCCUUCGGGUUGUAAACCGCUUUUGUUCGGGAAGAAAUCCUCUGGGCUAAUACCCCGGGGGGAUGACGGUACCGGAAGAAUAAGCACCGGCUAACUACGUG
Molecule: ribosomal RNA, 484 nt
Filed under: uncultured bacterium
Lineage: Bacteria
Description: partial 16S ribosomal RNA
Rfam family: Bacterial small subunit ribosomal RNA
Source: RNAcentral